Molecule: small nuclear RNA, 139 nt
Organism: Suricata suricatta (meerkat)
Lineage: Eukaryota; Metazoa; Chordata; Mammalia; Carnivora; Herpestidae
Gene: U4
Rfam family: U4 spliceosomal RNA
About the family: U4 small nuclear RNA (U4 snRNA) is a component of the major U2-dependent spliceosome.
Source: Ensembl
AGCUCUGCACAGUGGCAGUAUCGUAGCCAGUGAGGUUUAUCUGAGGCAUGAUUAUUGCUAAUCAAAAUAGAUGUACCAACGAUGGACAUUCUCACCCACACUGUAUAAUAGUUGCAGUUUCUACACAUCUUUACUAACA